CAAGACUGCUUUCAUACUUCCUUCCCGUUUGUGUUAGCUGGCUGUCACGGAGUGAUCUAGAUCAGUGUAUGCCUGUGGCGGGCAGUGGGCCUGUUUUCCUGUGUUUGGCUUCCUUGCUUUGCCAUGAUGCUGUCUUGAGUUCAUGUGCUGGACUCUUGUAUUUCGUGUCUUUGUUUUGCUUUGCUCUGUUUCCCUUGUUGUUUGCUGUUCUUUUGUCAGUCUUGCUUUAUUGCUGCUCCUGUGUUGCAAUACCUUGGUUUUGUUCAGAUGUGGUGAUUGAUACUUUUCCCUUUCCCAUUCUUGGAACUCUUUUCUCCCUCCUUCAUGGUGUUCCUCUUUGUUUCUCGGCUUUUCAGGUGAUUGUGCUUUGCCUUCCUUGGCUUUUUGG
RNAcentral lists this long non-coding RNA (388 nucleotides) under Gallus gallus (chicken). Lineage: Eukaryota; Metazoa; Chordata; Aves; Galliformes; Phasianidae. The record is from RNAcentral.